AGCAUAUCAAUAAGCGGAGGAAAAGAAACUAACAAGGAUUCCCCUAGUAACUGCGAGUGAAGCGGGAAGAGCUCAAAUUUAAAAUCUGGCGGCCUCUGGUCGUCCGAGUUGUAGUCUGGAGAAGCGUUUUCCGUGUUGGACCGUGUAUAAGUCUCUUGGAACAGGGCGUCAUAGAGGGUGAGAAUCCCGUCUUUGACACGGACUACCAAUGCUUUGUGAUGCGCUCUCAAAGAGUCGAGUUGUUUGGGAAUGCAGCUCAAAAUGGGUGGUAAAUUCCAUCUAAAGCUAAAUAUAGGCGAGAGACCGAUAGCGAACAAGUACCGUGAGGGAAAGAUGAAAAGCACUUUGGAAAGAGAGUUAAACAGUACGUGAAAUUGCUGAAAGGGAAACGCUUGAAGUCAGUCGCGUCUGCCAGGACUCAGCCUCGCUUCUGCUUGGUGCACUUUCUGGUUGGAUGGGCCAACAUCAAUUUUGACCGUUGGAGAAAGGCUUUGGGAAUGUGGCACCUUCGGGUGUGUUAUAGCCCUUUGUCGUAUACGACGGUUGGGAUUGAGGACCGCAGCACGCCUUCAUGGCCGGGGUUCGCCCACGUACGUGCUUAGGA
Molecule: ribosomal RNA, 604 nt
Filed under: uncultured Tomentella
Lineage: Eukaryota; Fungi; Basidiomycota; Agaricomycetes; Thelephorales; Thelephoraceae
Description: eukaryotic LSU rRNA
Rfam family: Eukaryotic large subunit ribosomal RNA
Source: RNAcentral